UGGGGAAUAUUGGACAAUGGGCGCAAGCCUGAUCCAGCCAUGCCGCGUGGAUGAAGAAGGCCCUAGGGUUGUAAAGUCCUUUCGACGGAGACGAUAAUGACGGUAUCCGUAGAAGAAGCCCCGGCUAAUUUCGUGCCAGCAGCCGCGGUAAUACGAAAGGGGCUAGCGUUGUUCGGAAUUACUGGGCGUAAAGCGCACGUAGGCGGUCGUGUAAGAUGGGGGUGAAAUCCCGGAGCUCAACUCCGGAACUGCCUUCAUGACUGCAUGGCUAGAGGAUGCGAGAGGUUGGCGGAAUUCCGAGUGUAGAGGUGAAAUGCGUAGAUAUCGGGAGGAACACCUGUGGCGAAGGCGGCCACCUGGUUGGAUACUGACGCUGAGACGCGAAAGCGUGGGGAGCAAACAGGAUUAGAUACCCCUGUAGUCCCUGAGCGGGCUGGCAAGGCGCAU
Molecule: ribosomal RNA, 447 nt
Filed under: uncultured bacterium
Lineage: Bacteria
Description: bacterial SSU rRNA
Rfam family: Bacterial small subunit ribosomal RNA
Source: RNAcentral